UACGUAGGGCGCAAGCGUUGUCCGGAAUUAUUGGGCGUAAGAGCUACGUAGGCGGCCUGUUACGUCUGCUGUGAAAUCCCGGGGCUUAACCCCGGGCGUGCAGUGGAUACGGGCAGGCUGGAGGCAGGCAGGGGAGAACGGAAUUCCCGGUGUAGCGGUGAAAGUGCGCAGAUAUCGGGAGGAACACCGGUGGCGAAGGCGGUUCUCUGGGCCUGACUGACGCGAGGAGCGA
Molecule: ribosomal RNA, 232 nt
Filed under: uncultured bacterium
Lineage: Bacteria
Description: partial 16S ribosomal RNA
Rfam family: Bacterial small subunit ribosomal RNA
Source: RNAcentral